RNAcentral lists this ribosomal RNA (253 nucleotides) under uncultured bacterium. Its description in RNAcentral is "partial 16S ribosomal RNA". It matches the Rfam family "Bacterial small subunit ribosomal RNA", at positions 524 to 776 of the family's 1533-position model. The record is from RNAcentral.
AACGUAGGUGGCGAGCGUUAUCCGGAUUUACUGGGCGUAAAGGGUGUGCAGGCGGGCUGUUAAGUGGUGCAUGAAAUCUCCGCGCUUAACGUGGAGAGGCUGUGCCAGACUGGCAGUCUAGAGUACGAGAGAGGGUUGUGGAAUUCCGGGUGUAGUGGUGAAAUGCGUAGAGAUCCGGAGGAACACCAGGGGCGAAGGCGGCGCUCUGGCUCGCAACUGACGCUCAGACACGACAGCAUGGGGAGCGAACGGG